AUGCACAUCAGGUUCUAGAGGUUUUGCCCUAGCGGCUCCUCCUCUCAGGAUGUGAUGUCACCUG
Homo sapiens (human) is the source of this 64-nucleotide microRNA precursor. NCBI's taxonomy places the organism in Eukaryota, Metazoa, Chordata, Mammalia, Primates, Hominidae. The record is from Ensembl.